This is a transfer RNA of 73 nucleotides. It matches the Rfam family "tRNA". From Rfam's summary of the family: Transfer RNA (tRNA) molecules are approximately 80 nucleotides in length. Their secondary structure includes four short double-helical elements and three loops (D, anti-codon, and T loops). Further hydrogen bonds mediate the characteristic L-shaped molecular structure. tRNAs have two regions of fundamental functional importance: the anti-codon, which is responsible for specific mRNA codon recognition, and the 3' end, to which the tRNAs corresponding amino acid is attached (by aminoacyl-tRNA synthetases). tRNAs cope with the degeneracy of the genetic code in two manners: having more than one tRNA (with a specific anti-codon) for a particular amino acid; and 'wobble' base-pairing, i.e. permitting non-standard base-pairing at the 3rd anti-codon position.
UCCGAUAUGGUGUAACGGUAACAUCGCCGUCUCUCAUUCACGGCAGCUCGGGGUUCGAUUCCCCGUGUCGGAG